UACGGAGGGUCCAAGCGUUAUCCGGAAUCAUUGGGCUUAAAGGGUCCGUAGGCGGUUUUGUAAGUCAGUGGUGAAAGCCCAUCGCUCAACGGUGGAACGGCCAUUGAUACUGCAAGACUUGAAUUAUUGGGAAGUAACUAGAAUAUGUAGUGUAGCGGUGAAAUGCUUAGAGAUUACAUGGAAUACCAAUUGCGAAGGCAGGUUACUACCAAUAUAUUGACGCUGAUGGACGAAAGCGUGGGGAGCGAACAGG
RNAcentral lists this ribosomal RNA (253 nucleotides) under uncultured bacterium. Its description in RNAcentral is "partial 16S ribosomal RNA". It matches the Rfam family "Bacterial small subunit ribosomal RNA", at positions 524 to 776 of the family's 1533-position model. The record is from RNAcentral.